UCGGCAUUGUAAUGUUUACGUUUUUAUUUAACAGAAUCGGGCGAUCGGGCAGAUUCGGCCGGAAGGGCGUCGCCAUCAAUUUCGUGAAGAACGACGACAUUCGGAUUCUGAGAGACAUCGAACAGUACUACAGCACGCAGAUAGACGAAAUGCCCAUGAACGUGGCUGAUCUUAUUUAGAAACCUGCUAUUUUGAAAUUGUCACCAGUAGCUUUUUUGACUGAUCUGUUUUAUUUCUCACAUUCAUAAGAACUGUACAUCAUAUUCUCCAUUAAUGUAACCACUUUUGUAAAUGUAUUAAAAGUAAACUUAAUUCUCUAAA
Centruroides sculpturatus (bark scorpion) is the source of this 321-nucleotide long non-coding RNA. RefSeq lists it as uncharacterized. The record is from RefSeq and is a predicted model, not a curated record. The transcript has 2 exons. NCBI's taxonomy places the organism in Eukaryota, Metazoa, Arthropoda, Arachnida, Scorpiones, Buthidae.